RNAcentral lists this transfer RNA (62 nucleotides) under Crassiplana albatrossi. RNAcentral's name for it is "tRNA-Gln". Lineage: Eukaryota; Metazoa; Platyhelminthes; Polycladida; Callioplanidae. The record is from RNAcentral.
UGCGAGGUGGUGUAAUAGCACAUAAAUUUUUGAUAUUUAAAGAAAACGAAGUUUUCUCGCAG